RNA transcript from Cucumis melo (muskmelon), 2993 nucleotides. It is a transcript of the gene named pentatricopeptide repeat-containing protein At1g77360, mitochondrial-like, with no coding region annotated. The transcript is spliced from 3 exons. The record is from RefSeq and is a predicted model, not a curated record. Lineage: Eukaryota; Viridiplantae; Streptophyta; Magnoliopsida; Cucurbitales; Cucurbitaceae.
CAUCAAAAUACUCAUAUUUAUCACCAAAAUACUUAUACUUCCCACUGAAAUACUCACAUUUCUAUUCCUUUUAAUUCCACUAAUAACUUUUUUAUAACUAUUAUAGCUCACUCAACUCUUCGUUUUUAUCACCGGCAAAACCUCGCCAAUCGAUUUUUAUCAUCCUAGUCCUUCUCAAGUCUAAUCCACUUUUAACCCUAAACAAAAAUGAGGCCCAUUAUCUCCUUUCGACGGGCUGGGUCGCGUGAAUUGGGCUUCAACGGGACUGACAAUAGUACCAUCGUCUUCCCCAAUACAAUACACGUCUCACGGUCUCAGGUCUGUUCACUGUACUGUGCUUCAAGGAACCGGUCUCCCAUCUGUCAGCAUUUCUUCUACGUCCACUUCCUUCAUCUCUCUAAAUUCAACAAACUUCCCUCCUUUUAAAGUUCCAAAAUUCCAGACGAAGCUUUUCAACAUGGAAGUUUUCUGAACUACUUGAAGACUCCACCCUUUUCGCUCCUAAAAAUCUCUCUUUACAAUCGAGAUCGUUAAACGAAGAAAAGUUAUGAUCGAUCGUCUCAGUCCAAAUAGUUUCUUCUUGGUUCUACAAUUAUGAUGGACUUUAUCAAGUAGUUUAAGGUGAUGAGUGGUGGAAGCCAUGGCUGAAAACCCUAAAAUGGGUGUAAGAAACCCUUCCAAAAUUCCCCCCAGUUCAGCGCCUCGGUCGCCCAAUUCCCCACGCUUCCCUUUGCAUCUAGACCUGCCGGACAUAUCGCCGGCUGCUAAAACCAUUUGCGAAGUCCUGAUUAAAGUCCCACGGAAUGAAGUAGACGCCGCGCUGUCCGCGACGGGAUUGGCUCCGUCGCCGGAGCUUGUCCAAGAAAUUCUGAGGGUUUCUUAUAACUAUCCUUCGUCGGCGAUCAAGUUCUUCCGGUGGGCGAGGCAGUUGGCGAAACAGUCGGCAUACUCGUGGAAUCUGAUGAUUGAUUUGUUGGGCAAGAACGAACUUUUCGAAGAAAUGUGGAACGGUAUUCGGACGAUGAGGCAAGAAAAGAUUCUUUCGUUGCCAACUUUUGUGUCGGUUUUUGGGAGUUAUUGUUCUGCUGGCAGGUUUAAAGAAGCGACAAUGAGCUUUGAAGUGAUGGAUAGGUACGAAGUUGAGAAGGAUGUUGUGGCAGUGAAUUCUCUACUGAGUGCAAUUUGCUCUGAGGAAAAUCAAACAUCAAAGGCUUGGGAGUUCUUUGAGAAACAUAAAGAGAAGAUUCCUUUGGAUGGGGACUCAUUCGCCAUUUUAUUGGAAGGUUGGGAGAAAGAAGGCAAUGUGGAGAAAGCUGAGGUUACAUUUGAUGAAAUGGUGAAAAGGAUCGGCUGGAAUCCUGAAAAUGUUUCAUCUUAUGAUGCAUUUUUGAUAACGUUGGUUCGUGGGGGCCGAUCUGAAGAUGCAAUCAAGGUUCUUCUAGAACUGAAGAAGAAUCGGUGUUUGCCAGGUUUGAAAUUCCUGUCCAAUGCUCUUGAUAGUCUCAUUCAGCAAAAUGAUGCAAACCAUGCGAUUCUCUUGUGGGAUAUAGUUGUGGGAAGUGGAUUAGUCCCUAACUUGAUCGUGUACAAUGCCAUAAUCGGAUUGCUUAGCGAGAAUAGUAAGAUCGACGACUCGUUUCGGCUCUUGGAUUCCAUGGUUUUCCAUGGUGCUUUUCCUAACUCCGUAACGUACAACCUGAUCUUCAGUUGUUUGAUUAAGAAUAAGAAAAUUAAGGAAGUUAGUCAAUUUUUCAGGGAGAUGGUAAAGAAUGAAUGCCCUCCUACCCCUUCUAAUUGUGCUGCAGCUAUCACAAUGUUGUUUGAUGGUUAUGACCCUGAAACAGCCAUUGAUAUAUGGAACUACAUGGAUGAGAAUCACAUCGAACCUAUGGAUGCAAGUGCAAAUGCACUGCUCAUUGGCCUUUGCAACUUGAAUCGGUUAACAGAGGUAAGGAGCUUCGCUGAUGAUAUGAUCGACCAGCGUAUUGAAAUAUUGGAAUCAACUAUGAAGUUGUUGAAGAAUUGUUUCUAUCUGCAGAGAGGAAGUUUCAGAGAGAAUUAUGAUGGUCUCUUGCGUAGGUGGAGAGCUUCCUCAAUUUUGUAAUUUUACCCUCUUCAAUUCAUUCUUGGUGUUUUUACAAGCACAAUACAUAGCAGCAUUAGUGAUCACCUUUGAGAUGCGUUAAAAGAGGGAAAGGAAGAUAUACCAAAACCUUCUCCGCCCAUCGCUGCAACUUUUUGAUAAUCAUGCAUUCCUUCCUCAGUGUUUCUCCCUAAAAUUGAGCUCUGCAACACAACAAAAGUGGUGAAGAUCUAAAGCGACAUACUCAUCCUCUAAUUUGGAUCGCCGGCAUAAUCUGCGCCACCAUAGCUCUUGCAGUAAUCGUAGCAGGCAUCGUCAUCUUCAUCGGCUAUGUUACGAUCCGCCCUAGGGUACCGUCAAUCAGUGUAACCGACGGACAUCUCGACAGAAUCCGAAGCAGUAGAACCGGAUUGCUUGAAGUCCAAAUGAAGAUCGUCGUCCGAGCCGAGAAUCAAAAUGCUAAAGCACACGCAAGCUUUUCAAAGACGGAUUUUGUCCUACUUUUCGACGGAAUAGAAAUCGCAUCACUAGUAGCUCAUCGGCCGUUCAAAGUGAACAAAAUGAGUUACCUGGAUUUGCAUUUCUUGGUGGAAUCAUCGGCAAUUCCGCUCGAUUCAACACAGAUGCAGCAUCUUAGCUGGUCGCUGAAGAGAAAUUUGAUACAAUUCGAUCUGAAAGGAAGCUCGAGAACUCGAUGGCGAGUUGGAAUUUUGGGACCGCUCAAAUUCUGGUGCCGAUUGAAUUGUCACCUCAGGUUUCUCCCGCGCAAUGGAAGCUAUGUCCCCAUGCCUUGUUCUUCAAAUCAAAAAUAAUUCGUGGAAAAAAGAGGACAGAAAAUCUCGAAAUUUGAAUUUGGAAAUUUUUAUGGACAAUGAAACUCAUCCGUUCGUGGGGAUCGGGUUGGUAUAAA